GAUGAAGAACGUAGCGAAAUGCGAUAAGUAAUGUGAAUUGCAGAAUUCCGUGAAUCAUCGAAUCUUUGAACGCACAUUGCGCCCCCUGGUAUUCCGGGGGGCAUGCCUGUCCGAGCGUCAUUGCUGCCCUCAAGCACGGCUUGUGUGUUGGGCCCCGUCCUCCGAUCCCGGGGGACGGGCCCGAAAGGCAGCGGCGGCACCGCGUCCGGUCCUCGAGCGUAUGGGGCUUUGUCACCCGCUCUGUAGGCCCGGCCGGCGCUUGCCGAUCAACCCAAAUUUUUUAUCCAGGUUGACCUCGGAUCAGGUAGGGAUACCCGCUGAACUUAAGCAUAUCAAUAAGCGGAGGA
Molecule: unclassified non-coding RNA, 347 nt
Filed under: soil metagenome
Description: partial contains 5.8S ribosomal RNA, internal transcribed spacer 2, and large subunit ribosomal RNA
Rfam family: 5.8S ribosomal RNA (bases 1-120)
Source: RNAcentral